Molecule: ribosomal RNA, 253 nt
Filed under: uncultured bacterium
Lineage: Bacteria
Description: partial 16S ribosomal RNA
Rfam family: Bacterial small subunit ribosomal RNA
Source: RNAcentral
UACGGAGGGCGCAAGCGUUAUUCGGAAUUACUGGGCGUAAAGCGCGUGUAGGUGGUUUUGUAAGUCUGGCGUGAAAGCCCACGACUCAAUCGUGGAAGUGCGCUGGAUACUGCAAGACUAGAGUACAGGAGAGGUGAACGGAAUUCCUGGUGUAGAGGUGAAAUUCGUAGAUAUCAGGAGGAACAACGGAGGCGAAAGCGGUUCACUGGACUGUCACUGACACUGAGACGCGACAGCGUGGGGAGUGAACGGG